This 849-nucleotide ribosomal RNA is filed under the name Triticum aestivum (bread wheat). Its description in RNAcentral is "partial small subunit ribosomal RNA". Lineage: Eukaryota; Viridiplantae; Streptophyta; Magnoliopsida; Poales; Poaceae. The record is from RNAcentral.
AUGGCGCCACCUGUGGCUCUCCGCGCCUCUCAACCUCGAGGUCCGCAACCGUCCACCCCGGAUGCCUUCCACAGACUGCUCUCUUGCUGCCAUGCCUUGGAGAGCUUAUACAUGGCCGAAGUUCGUGCCGCGGGUUGCCUCCGUGUCAGCUCGCCGACUAUUACGACCAUCAUCUUCCGUCAUAGCUCUAGUGAAAAAACGGAACUGGUCAUCGAAGAUGCUCCCUGCCUUCUAAGGUUACUAUUAACUGGUUGUAACAGAGAUGAUUGUGUCACUGUCAGGGUGAUUAGUGCGCCUAAUCUGAAGAUAUUGGGCCCUUUCUUGGUUGUGGUCUCCAAGCUCCUACUCUUCCAGGGAAUAAACUCAGUCAGCUCCACAAACUCGAUGCGCACCUUGAAGGUUUUGGCUCUCAAGCCUUCUGGAGAUAAAUUGCUUGCAGUUCUAAACAUCCUUAGGUGGUUCCCCUGUUUGGAAAAGCUCUGUAUUAUCUUUCAUAAACAAUAUGAGAUGCAUGAGGAAAAUGAGCCUCAGUAUAACCUGCUGUAUCCAAUCGAAUGCCUUGAGUCCCAUCUCAAAAAAGUGGUGUUUAAGUCAUUCCAGGGCUAUAGGAGACAGGUUGAAUUUGCCAGGUUCUUUGUAUUGAAUGCAAAGGUGCUAGAUAAGAUGGAAUUUGAAGUAUAUAAUCACUACCGCAGUGAAAUGGUGGCUUAUGAAUAUAGGCUGCUACAAGUGGAAAACAGAGCUUCUCGACAUGCUCGGUUUGAAUUCAGGACUACAUCCAUGCCCAUAAACAUGUCCAUGAUUUCUCAGUGGUUGCCCUUCAGACCCAUACACAGGGUUGAUGCCUGA